ACCACCCAGAAACUCUGUGAGAAGUUAGAGAAAAGCUCCUUUAGCGACUUUUGCCUGGAGAUGAAUGAUGAAUCUCUGGUGGACCUCGAGGUGGAUUUGUCUGAAGAAGACAUACAAAGGAUGCUUCAUCACAUUAAUCAGCUCAAUGAAAUCAGGAGGAACCAGAGCUUCCGUUUGGUGUUCUUGUUUCAGGAC
Molecule: long non-coding RNA, 195 nt
Organism: Etheostoma spectabile (orangethroat darter)
Lineage: Eukaryota; Metazoa; Chordata; Actinopteri; Perciformes; Percidae
Exons: 3
Source: RefSeq, a predicted model, not a curated record